UCUUGAAUAAUAAAUUCUCCUUCGUAGAAUCAUAUUGAUUUUUGGGUAGCCAAUUCUUGAUAUCACAGCGUUGCAAGGAGAAGACCGAGAGAGCUGUGAUUUAAUUCUUCAUGUCAUUCUCUUCUUCCCAAAGGGUGAGCUUGUGUACGUUGGUUGCAGUUGGAAAAGGAAGUGAUUGAGGAGUAAGCUUGUGAGAUUGAGCGACGACGGGCGUGGAGGAUGUUGAGCAGAAUUCAUGGAUUAUUUAUGUUUGGCUUAAUAUUGUUGGAUAUGUCGUGUCUUCAUACUCGGCAUUUUCCGUGUCUUGAACGCUUCCGCUAGGUGUCUUUUCUUUAAAAUUGUUUUAGUAUUGAGAACCUAACUCUUUUCAAUAUUGUUUACAUUCUAGUCUUUAUUUCUUAGAAUUUGUACUUUGUUGAAAUGAUACUAUGUUGUUUUCUAAGUUACUUCAAUUUUUUAAAUAU
Molecule: non-coding RNA, 464 nt
Organism: Salvia hispanica
Lineage: Eukaryota; Viridiplantae; Streptophyta; Magnoliopsida; Lamiales; Lamiaceae
Source: RefSeq, a predicted model, not a curated record